ACCCUUUUGUGACAUACCUAUCGUUGCUUCGGCGGACUCGCCCCAGCGUCCGGCCGGCCCCGCGCCGGCCGCGGCCUGGAUCCAGGCGGCCGCCGGAGACCCCCAAACUCUGUAUUCUCAGUAUCUUCUGAAUCCGCCGCAAGGCAAAACAAAUGAAUCAAAACUUUCAACAACGGAUCUCUUGGUUCUGGCAUCGAUGAAGAACGCAGCGAAAUGCGAUAAGUAAUGUGAAUUGCAGAAUUCAGUGAAUCAUCGAAUCUUUGAACGCACAUUGCGCCCGCCAGCAUUCUGGCGGGCAUGCCUGUUCGAGCGUCAUUUCAACCCUCGACUUCCCUUUGGGGAAAUCGGCGUUGGGGACCGGCCGUAUACCGCCGGCCCCGAAAUGAAGUGGCGGCCCGUCCGCGGCGACCUCUGCGUAGUAAUCCAACUCGCACCGGAACCCCGACGUGGCCACGCCGUAAAACCCCCGACUUCUGAACGUUGACCUCGGAUCAGGUAGGAAUACCCGCUGAACUUAAGCAUAU
Molecule: small RNA, 524 nt
Filed under: Cordyceps farinosa
Lineage: Eukaryota; Fungi; Ascomycota; Sordariomycetes; Hypocreales; Cordycipitaceae
Description: eukaryotic LSU rRNA
Rfam family: 5.8S ribosomal RNA (bases 162-315)
Source: RNAcentral